This 413-nucleotide ribosomal RNA is filed under the name uncultured microorganism. RNAcentral describes it as "bacterial SSU rRNA". It matches the Rfam family "Archaeal small subunit ribosomal RNA", at positions 330 to 745 of the family's 1478-position model. The record is from RNAcentral.
GCGCAGCAGGCGCGAAACCUUCGCAAUGCGGGAAACCGCGACGAGGGACUCCCAGUGCCUACGCUCAGCGUAGGCUGUUCCCGAGCCUAGAAAGCUCGGGGAGUAAGGGCUGGGUAAGACGGGUGCCAGCCGCCGCGGUAAUACCCGCAGCCCGAGUGGUGGCCACUAUUAUUGGGCCUGAAGCGUCCGUAGCCGGCCCGGUAAAUGCCUGGGUAAAUCGUGAGGCCUAACCUCACGAAUUCCGGGUAGACUGCCGGGCUAGGGACCGGAGGAGGGAGAGGGGUACUCCAGGGGUAGGGGUGAAAUCCUGUAAUCCCUGGAGGACCACCGGUGGCGAAGGCGCUCUCCUAGGACGGGUCCGACGGUGAGGGACGAAAGCCAGGGGAGCGAACCGGAUUAGAUACCCGUGUAGU